CAGUCGCCGCGGGAAUACGUAGGGUGCAAGCGUUAUCCGGAUUCACUGGGUUUAAAGGGUGCGUAGGCGGAUCUGUAAGUCAGUGGUGAAAUCUCCAGGCUUAACCUGGAAACUGCCGUUGAUACUAUAGGUCUUGAAUUUUGUGGAGGUUAGCGGAAUAUGUCAUGUAGCGGUGAAAUGCAUAGAUAUGACAUAGAACACCAAUUGCGAAGGCAGCUGGCUACACAACUAUUGACGCUGAGGCACGAAAGCGUGGGGAUCAAACAGGAUUAGAUACCCCCGUAGUCCCUGUCUCUUAUAC
This 301-nucleotide ribosomal RNA is filed under the name uncultured bacterium. RNAcentral describes it as "partial 16S ribosomal RNA". It matches the Rfam family "Bacterial small subunit ribosomal RNA", at positions 509 to 807 of the family's 1533-position model. The record is from RNAcentral.